GACGCUGCCAUCUAUCCCCUCCCUUCAGAAGCUCAUCUUCCAACUCGACGCCCCAAACCUCUCCGUCUCUCACCUCUGCUUCAUCUCCCAACAGUCGGUGCCAUAAACUUCCAGACCUUGAAGAUUUGGCGGGACUCCAACCUCCGCUGCGUAGAGUCCGUCAAGGGGCACGAGGACGCCGUGAGUGCGGUGGCGGUGGCGAAGGACGGGACCGUCUACACCGGGUCGGUGAACCGUCGAAGCCGGGUGUGGGGGAGACCGCAAGACGAGAAGCGCCACGUGUUGGUGGCGACGCUGGAGAAGCACAAGUCGGCGGUUGUCCUUCGCGUCUCUCUCUGGCCGUAGUGGCUGACGUCAGCCAUGUGGGGAGCUCGGGCCG
Molecule: long non-coding RNA, 379 nt
Filed under: Rosa chinensis
Lineage: Eukaryota; Viridiplantae; Streptophyta; Magnoliopsida; Rosales; Rosaceae
Description: sRNA RchiOBHm_Chr5g0074121
Source: RNAcentral